Molecule: ribosomal RNA, 1698 nt
Filed under: Rickiopora latemarginata
Lineage: Eukaryota; Fungi; Basidiomycota; Agaricomycetes; Polyporales
Description: eukaryotic LSU rRNA
Rfam family: Eukaryotic large subunit ribosomal RNA (bases 593-1698)
Source: RNAcentral
AUCAUUACUGAAUUUAUAAUGGGCGAGGUUGUCGCUGGCCUUUUUAUCGGGGCAUGUGCACGCCGCGUUCAAUCCAAAUUCUUAAACCUCUGUGCACCUUUCAUGGGAUGGAGUCUAUGUUUGCUGGCUCUUUGCGGGGCUGACAUUCUGAUUUCGCCUGUGUCCUAUUAUUAAACUUGUCAGUUAAGAAUGUCAUCUUGCGAUAUAUACGCAAUUAUAUACAACUUUCAGCAACGGAUCUCUUGGCUCUCGCAUCGAUGAAGAACGCAGCGAAAUGCGAUAAGUAAUGUGAAUUGCAGAAUUCAGUGAAUCAUCGAAUCUUUGAACGCACCUUGCGCUCCUUGGUAUUCCGAGGAGCAUGCCUGUUUGAGUGUCAUGGUAUUCUCAAUUCACUUCAUUUUUUAAAUGAGGUGGUAUUGGAUGUGGAGGUUGCUUGCUGGCGUCACUUGUGAUACCGGCUCCUCUGAAAUGCAUUAGCAUGAAUGUGUAUGGAACAUUUCUCAGUGUGAUAAUUAUCUACGCUGUGAAUGAGAAAUGCAAUUAGGUUCACGCUUAUAGCCGUCCUUUGUUGGACAAUUUAUUAUUGACAAUCUGACCUCAAAUCAGGUAGGACUACCCGCUGAACUUAAGCAUAUCAAUAAGCGGAGGAAAAGAAACUAACAAGGAUUCCCCUAGUAACUGCGAGUGAAGCGGGAAAAGCUCAAAUUUAAAAUCUGGCGGUCUUUGGCUGUCCGAGUUGUAUUCUGGAGAAGUGUUUUCCGCGUUGGACCGUGUACAAGUCUCUUGGAAUAGAGCGUCAUAGAGGGUGAGAAUCCCGUCUUUGACACGGACUACCAAUGCUUUGUGAUGCGCUCUCAAAGAGUCGAGUUGUUUGGGAAUGCAGCUCAAAAUGGGUGGUAAAUUCCAUCUAAAGCUAAAUAUUGGCGAGAGACCGAUAGCGAACAAGUACCGUGAGGGAAAGAUGAAAAGCACUUUGGAAAGAGAGUUAAACAGUACGUGAAAUUGCUGAAAGGGAAACGCUUGAAGUCAGUCGCGUUGUGCAGAACUCAGCCUGGCUUUUGCUUGGUGCAUUUUCUGCAUGACGGGCCAGCAUCAAUUUUGACCGCUGGAUAAAGGCGUCGGGAAUGUGGCACCCUCGGGUGUGUUAUAGCCCGGCGUUGUAUACAGCGGUUGGGAUUGAGGAUCUCAGCAUGCCUUUAUGGUCGGGGUUCGCCCACGUUCAUGCUUAGGAUGCUGGCGUAAUGGCUUUAAACGACCCGUCUUGAAACACGGACCAAGGAGUCUAACAUGCCUGCGAGUGUUUGGGUGGAAAACCCGAGCGCGUAAUGAAAGUGAAAGUUGGGAUCUCUGUCGUGGAGAGCACCGACGCCCGGACCAGACCUUUUGUGACGGAUCCGCGGUAGAGCAUGUAUGUUGGGACCCGAAAGAUGGUGAACUAUGCCUGAAUAGGGUGAAGCCAGAGGAAACUCUGGUGGAGGCUCGUAGCGAUUCUGACGUGCAAAUCGAUCGUCAAAUUUGGGUAUAGGGGCGAAAGACUAAUCGAACCAUCUAGUAGCUGGUUCCUGCCGAAGUUUCCCUCAGGAUAGCAGAAACUCAUGUCAGAUUUAUGUGGUAAAGCGAAUGAUUAGAGGCCUUGGGGUUGAAACAACCUUAACCUAUUCUCAAACUUUAAAUAUGUAAGAACGAGCCGUCACUUGA